Molecule: ribosomal RNA, 253 nt
Filed under: uncultured Oscillospira sp.
Lineage: Bacteria; Bacillati; Bacillota; Clostridia; Eubacteriales; Oscillospiraceae
Description: partial 16S ribosomal RNA
Rfam family: Bacterial small subunit ribosomal RNA
Source: RNAcentral
UACGUAGGUGGCAAGCGUUGUCCGGAUUUACUGGGUGUAAAGGGCGUGCAGCCGGAGAGACAAGUCAGAUGUGAAAUCCACGGGCUCAACCCGUGAACUGCAUUUGAAACUGUUUCCCUUGAGUGUCGGAGAGGUAAUCGGAAUUCCUUGUGUAGCGGUGAAAUGCAUAGAUAUCGCGCAGAACUCCGAUUGCGAAGGCAGCUUACCAAGCUACUUCUGACGUUGAGGCACGAAAGCGUGGGGAGCAAACAGG